UACGUAGGGUGCAAGCGUUAAUCGGAAUUACUGGGCGUAAAGCGUGCGCAGGCGGCGCGUUAAGACAGGUGUGAAAGCCCCGAGCUUAACUUGGGAAUUGCGCUUGUGACUGGCGUGCUGGAGUGUGGCAGAGGGAGGUGGAAUUCCGACGUGUAGCAGUGAAAUGCGUAGAGAUGUGGAGGAACACCGAUGGCGAAGGCAGCCCCCUGGGAUAACACUGACGCCUCAUGCACGAAAGCGUGGGGAGCAAACAGG
Molecule: ribosomal RNA, 255 nt
Filed under: uncultured bacterium
Lineage: Bacteria
Description: partial 16S ribosomal RNA
Rfam family: Bacterial small subunit ribosomal RNA
Source: RNAcentral